GGAAAGCCCCGAUCUCACGCCCCCGCUCGCAAUCAUCUCCUCUAAUCCCUCGAUAGCAUUAAACGCGGGCCCUGCCCGAGCUCUGCUUCCCACCCGAGUCGCCUCGCCGCCAGCUCGCUCACCAGAUCCCCUGCUCCUCCGCCGUAUCACCGCGACUCCUCCAGCCAACGACGCCUCUCCGCUCCGCGACCACCCCGGCCACCGACGCCUCUCCGCUCCGCCUCAUCAGCCCGCUCCAUCCGCCUCGCGCACCUCCAGCUUCGCCUCACAUCGGUGGACCGCAGCACCGAGCCUCCUGCCCCAUUGUUCCUCACUCGAGCCUCCCCGCCGAGCAGCAUGGCUACCACCUAGUCCACUCCACCGACGCUUUCUCGUUCGAUUCCGCGGAGUUUUUUCAGUCGUUGGGCUAUCCCAUCUACUGAUUCGGCUGCAUCCCCAUCGAUUUGGAUCGACCGGCCUGAGUAUUGGCCAUUGGAUUUCUAAAUUGCGGCUGUAUUUUUGAAGCUCCCCAACCUGAAUCAAAGGUGACACUCAACAAUGACUAAAAAGGAGUUGAUCAUGCUGCAGAGUCGACAUUCAGCUGGUAGGUUACAUGAUAUUGUCAAGGGUCUCCCACAGAGAAGGAAAGACCUCAUUUGCACAAACAAAAUGGGGUAAUCUACUUAAUAUUAGCAAAUUCUCAGCUCCAGAGGGUCUCCUAGAAUGGAUCGUUGACCGGAUUGACCCGAAGCUAGGUGAAUUUCGGAAUCCACGAAACAAUAACAGCAUUCUAUUCACUCGACAAAUGGUUGAAAAGGCUCUCGGGCUUCCGUCUGGUACUAGGCCGGUGGUUAUCAUAAGCAAGCAUGAAGAAUCACCUCACCGAGAAUUCUACAAAACGGACUAUGAGCAUGGGAGACGGGCGCCCAUUCACCAUGCUGCAACCAUGCUAGAAAACGGCAAUGAUCUAGAUGAUGAGACCUUCUUCAGGACAUUCUUUCUAGUAGCAUUGGCUACUCAUUUUACACCCGGAACUGGAAAUAUGAUUCCUUUGGAAUAUUUAGGCAGCCUUGAAGUUGCUUCCGAGGUUUGCGAGUAUGCAUGGGGAGAGCAAAUUCUCAAAGAUGUCAUGACUGAGGUCGAUACAUUCCAAAAGAAGAAGAAGAAAGCACUACUAGAUGGUGUCUUCAAAAAAAUCUGGGUCGGCAGCUGCCUAUCCGUGCUCGCGAUUAUAUACAUGGACCAUCUUGACUUUCCUGAAUCAUCUUUGUCGACGCAUCGCAUAAAUUACUCACUUCCCAGAUCAUCCCAUGUAACCGAUGCCGACUUCGAAUUUGUCAUGCUCGCUGAUAAAAGUAGACUGAGCCUCAACCCAUAUAUUUAUGGCGCACGACCGUUUCGUGCACCCGAGGCAACCCCAUAUGCCGUUGUAGCGCCAAUCUACCAACAGCAAUCUACUCAACAGCCAAAUGUUCAACAAACAGAUAAUGAUUCUACCAACCAUCCAGCAGAGGACAUGCAUCACCAGGUCCCUACAUUACCUACCAAUCAAUCUGAGGAACUACCAGCGUUCAUACUUCCAAUUUUGCGAACGCAUAAUGCAAAAUGGGCACUUGAUAUUUCAAAAGCCACAUCACGACUCAACAAACUGCACGCAAAGCGCAUGAACGAGUUUGCACAAGAUGUCAUUGCUGCCUCAAGAAUUCAUACUCCAACAACACCUACUUAUUCCUCGCCUGAUAGGGUAGGCCAAGACUCAUAUACUGAAAAUGCUCAAGAACAUGGGACCAAAGCUACACCCAACACCAAGUUUUGGCAGGAAGCAGCUGCAUAUGCCGAAGAGGUUGAGAAAAGUGUUUGAAAAACACCUCGUAAUAACCAGGAUGUUGCUUCUACAUCAGCUCCUGCGACGAACCAAUCCACCGGAGAGGAAGAUACAAGGCGGAGGAUUCUUGAUACGUACGAAGAUGCAAGUUUCAGCUUUCUACCUCCAGGUCAAACUUGGACCCAAGUAUGGUCCGAACCUGCUUCGUCGCCACAUCAUCCACAUACUGCCGAUGCCGCUACUGCAGUUGGACAAUCCUCAGCUCCAGAAAAUGCAGGACCAACAACCAUGUCAACAGUGGACGCAAACUUGGUGCACAUCAGUCACGGGACAUCCCCUGUACAAUCGCCACCACCAAAAUCACCAACCCAUCUCAACCAGGAAAAUGGAACCAAAGCACCUAGCAUCAUCCAUAUCGUGACCGAGGUACAACAACCCACCGUGAGGGAUAUCCCUGAAACUAUUGGCACCCAAACUCAGGAAAAGAAAAAUAGGAAGAAGCGAGCUUGUCUUCGAAAAACCGAGGACACAAGGUUGAAGAAGCUCAAGGUUAACAUUUCCUCAAUUCAAAUAUACACUAAGUACAUUACCACCAGAUGUGUGAGACCUCCGACAAAAAAGGAAAACAGGGCUCCUUUUGUUGAUUACCAGGGGUAUCACAUAUCAUAUGAAGAUUUCCGCGAGGCAAUGAAACCACGCGGGUUCGUUGACACCGAUACAAUGGAGCUCUACAUUCGACAAUUCAACCUUGAACAAUCAAUUUAGACUUGUGGCUCCGCUCUUCCAACCAAAUAUGCAUUCUCACAAUCUUUGACCGCUAAACUACUGGUUCCCGAGGACAAAUUCAUUGCAUCCAAGUGCCUUCGUGAAUUCAACACUGCAUACCAAGAUGGCUCCCUCAAGUCAAAGGAUCUCAUAUGCCUCCUUACAUUUUUAUUGAAUGUUGUCGAUUAACAAUAAAUGUUCAAAUCUGACCACUCACAUGGCUCUGACCAUGAUAAUUUGCAGCUAUACUUCGCCAUCCCCCAAAAAGAACAUUGGAUCGUGUGCUGCAUCAACCUUCUGUACAAACAGAUCAACAUAUUUGACUCAGGCAGAAAGCUCAAGAAUGACGAGGCAUACGAGAUAUCCAACAAUCUGGUUAGCAAUUUUGUGACACUUGCGGCACAUGCUAAAGCUUUCACAAAGUUGGAUUUCAUGAAGUUCACGUGUUUCAACCCUCCGGAAUGCCCCCAACAGAAAACACACUAUGAUUGUGGAAUAUUCGCAAUGCUCUUCAUGAAGCAAUGGGAUGGGAAGAAAAUGGCAGAAUUUAGCAAGGACACUUAUGACCAUCGCGCGCUUAUCACAGAAGAAAUCCUCACUUCACAACUCAACACUCAAGAUCCAAGCUGGGUACUGAAGAAGAAAUGAGAAGCCUGCAUAGUCGUGUUCAAGAAAAUAAAAAUCCGUGCUUGAGAAGCCAUCCUAGAAGCGUACAAGAGAAUAAAAGACGGCGCUUCUAUCAACUAUGUGCUUCGAUUUUUUCUGUGUAAUUUUUAGCUUGUUUUUUCUAAGACACUACUUUUCAGUAACCAUCAGACCAGUGUCAUGUUUGUGUUCUUAACUGAUUGGGUUUCCGAUCAUCGGUUACCCUACCACAUUUUACCUGUUUUGUGGAUCAAUCUCUUAUUCAGAAUUACUUACAAAGAAAUUUACCCAAGUUGUACAUUUUUUUUGUUCAAUGCCA
Molecule: ribosomal RNA, 3533 nt
Filed under: Triticum aestivum (bread wheat)
Lineage: Eukaryota; Viridiplantae; Streptophyta; Magnoliopsida; Poales; Poaceae
Description: partial small subunit ribosomal RNA
Source: RNAcentral